This is a long non-coding RNA of Triticum dicoccoides, 1316 nucleotides long. RefSeq lists it as uncharacterized. The transcript has 2 exons. Lineage: Eukaryota; Viridiplantae; Streptophyta; Magnoliopsida; Poales; Poaceae. The record is from RefSeq and is a predicted model, not a curated record.
CCAUUUCCAUUCCGAUAAGGCAGAGGGGAGAGGUCGAGCGGCGGAGGAGGGGGAGGCGAUUCCUUGUGUUCAUGGCGAUUUCGAGCUCAUCCACGGCAGGAUACUGACUUCUUCCUCUUGUUUCUCGUCGUCCGCGGCUGCUCUGUGUUUUCUCCAUAAUAGGAAGUGUAUGUAAGAUCAAGGGUCUGCAGUGGUAUGCGCAUGAAGUUCUGCUGUGCAUUUUGUCUACCUUCAUCUCUGUGCAGUUGACCUAUAUGCAUCUCUAUGCUGUAGAACUUCACUGCUUGCUUAUGUGCCUCAUGUAGCUUUGCUGUACUUUCUUAUUUUUUAGUUAAUAUUGUACCCCUUGCAGUAUUUUGCCUAGUGUUUAUGUUGUCAUAGUUGAUGUGCAACUUGCUCCCUAAUUAGUGUGUGGGUAUUGUAUCCUUUGGCCUUUGUAAAUAUUGUAUCAUUUGGCCCUGUUCUAGUCUGUAAUACCCCUCUUGUUCUUCACUAUGCAUGUGUAGUAGCACUGCCUUCUUCUUAGUAUGAUUGAUAUUGUAUUUUUUCUUAAUUUCUAUUUGAUGUAUCUCUGACUUAGACUGUACUUCCCCUAGUUUUCUUUUGAUGCAGUUGUAUGCGAUGAAUUUUUGUAAUGUAUUUUCUGAAGUUCAGUGUAUUUCCCUGGAGUUUUACACUGUAAUUUGUGUGGGUGAGGAAUGUAAUUAACCAUAUGGCUUACACUGCAACUAAACAUAGGGCUUACACUGUAAAUUAGCAGAGUUUUCCACUUUAACUAACCAUAUGGCUUACACUGCAACUAACGAUAGGGCUUACACUGUAAAUUAGCAGAGUUUUCCACUGUAACUAACCAUAGGGCUUACACUGUAAAUUAGCAGAGUUUUCCACUGUAAUUAACCAUAGGGCUUACACUGUAAAGUAGCAGAGUUUUCCACUGUAAUUAACCAUAGGGCUUACACUGUAAAUUAGCAGAGUUUUCCACUGUAAUUAACCAUAGGGCUUACACUGUAAAUUAGCAGAGUUUUCCACUGUAUUUUGUGUUGAUGAGGACUGUAAUUUGUGGUUUGGCCUUAGCUUGUAUUUUUCAUAGGGCUUACGCCAUAAUUGAGUAGAGUUUUACACUAUAAUUUUUCUUGGUGAGGACUAUAUUUGUUGUAGGGUUUACAGUGUAAUUGUAAAGUGUAUUUUUCCUGUUGGGCUUACACCGUAAAUGAGUAGAGUUCUACAGUGUAAUUUGUGUGGGUUGGGACUGUAAUUGUACAAUGUAUUUUUCCUAUUGGGCUUAAUCUGUAAGUCACCAGAGUUUUUCUGUGUAA